This 432-nucleotide ribosomal RNA is filed under the name uncultured bacterium. Its description in RNAcentral is "partial 16S ribosomal RNA". It matches the Rfam family "Bacterial small subunit ribosomal RNA", at positions 338 to 795 of the family's 1533-position model. The record is from RNAcentral.
CCUACGGGUGGCAGCAGUAGGGAAUAUUGGGCAAUGGACGGAAGUCUGACCCAGCCAUGCCGCGUGCAGGAAGAAGGCCUCUGGGUUGUAAACUGCUUUUAUCAGGGAAGCGGUACCUGAGGAAUAAGCACCGGCUAACUCCGUGCCAGCAGCCGCGGUAAUACGGAGGGUGCAAGCGUUGUCCGGAUUUAUUGGGUUUAAAGGGUGCGUAGGCGGCCCUGUAAGUCAGUGGUGAAAGCCUCCAGCUCAACUGGAGAACUGCCAUUGAUACUGCAGGGCUUGAGUACAGACGAGGUUGGCGGAAUUGAUAGUGUAGCGGUGAAAUGCAUAGAUACUAUCAAGAACUCCGAUUGCGUAGGCAGCUAACUAGGCUGUACUGACGCUGAGGCACGAAAGCGUGGGGAGCGAACAGGAUUAGAUACCCUUGUAGUC